RNAcentral lists this ribosomal RNA (480 nucleotides) under uncultured bacterium. Its description in RNAcentral is "partial 16S ribosomal RNA". It matches the Rfam family "Bacterial small subunit ribosomal RNA", at positions 28 to 506 of the family's 1533-position model. The record is from RNAcentral.
GAUGAACGCUGGCGGCGUGCUUAACACAUGCAAGUCGAACGAAGCACUUUAUUUGAUUUCCUUCGGGACUGAUUAUUUUGUGACUGAGUGGCGGACGGGUGAGUAACGCGUGGGUAACCUGCCUUGUACAGGGGGAUAACAGUUGGAAACGGCUGCUAAUACCGCAUAAGCGCACAGCAUCGCAUGAUGCAGUGUGAAAAACUCCGGUGGUAUAAGAUGGACCCGCGUUGGAUUAGCUAGUUGGUGAGGUAACGGCCCACCAAGGCGACGAUCCAUAGCCGACCUGAGAGGGUGACCGGCCACAUUGGGACUGAGACACGGCCCAAACUCCUACGGGAGGCAGCAGUGGGGAAUAUUGCACAAUGGGCGAAAGCCUGAUGCAGCGACGCCGCGUGAGCGAAGAAGUAUUUCGGUAUGUAAAGCUCUAUCAGCAGGGAAGAUAAUGACGGGACCUGACUAAGAAGCACCGGCUAAAUACGU